RNAcentral lists this long non-coding RNA (2208 nucleotides) under Ananas comosus (pineapple). RNAcentral's name for it is "long non-coding RNA (ACOM_LNC016326)". The record is from RNAcentral. Lineage: Eukaryota; Viridiplantae; Streptophyta; Magnoliopsida; Poales; Bromeliaceae.
AAAAAUUACUACUUGCGAAGUAAAUAAAGUGACAUAUAUAUAUAUAUAAAAAGAGAGAGAAAGAAAGAGUUUUUUAUAUGUCGCAUCAUCGAAAACAACUUAUAAGUACUGAAGCUUUCGUAUUUUUAAAAACAUAGGAGUCUCUCCCUCUUACAAAUAUUGAAGCCUCCGUACUUAUAAAAACAUGAGAGCCUCUCUCUCUCUCUAGGAGCCUCUCUCUCUCUUUUCUUAGUUUUUAUUCCAUUCUUCCUCUCUUUAUCCAAAUUAUAUCUUACAAUACAAAUCUCUUAUAGAUUUUUAGCUUUUAUGUUAAUUAUUGACCAGUACUAAAAACCACAUUAAUUUAUGUUUUAUACUUUACCAUACUCUCAAAUAGGCUCAAAAUUAUAAAAUAACUAAUUGUUAACCCGGGUGUUGCAUACGGAUGUUCACUACAACAGAAUUAGAUUAUAGGGACACAUGUUUGGAACACUUUUGAGUAAGUGUCUUAUUUAUGCUAAAACUUAAAAAAAUAUCUACUUAUGCCUAAAUAUAAAGCCCAAUCCAACCAAAAAUAAAAGAUUACUCUACUCAACCCACCACACUCAGUCCAUUUGACCCGAUUACAAACAGAAAAGAAAAAAAAAGAAAAAGAAAAAUCAACUACCAUCUUUUCUUCUCUCUUCACUCAAUCCACUGAAAUUCUAGACGAAGAGCUUUUCCUAUCGUCCUUCUCCCCCACCGCAGCCAACGAGAUAGAGUUUCGGCGGUUGCUAAAUGCUUAAAUAAGUGUUGGUAAAUUAGCAGCACUCUUUUAGCUUAUAGCGACACUCUUUAACUGUCACUAUAUACCUAGCGACCCCACAUAUAGCAACACUUUUUAAAAGUGUCGGUAAUUUUAGCUAGCAGCACUUCUUUGACAUGUACCUACAUUUAAAAGUAUCGCUAUAAACCGUUUUUGUUGAAGUGGUUUUACAAUUUUAUUUUUAAGAAAAAUACAUAAAGUUAAUUUUCAAGGGGGAAAAGUUAGUUUUUACAAAUUUUAAAUAAAAAUUUGGUUUUGCAAAAUUUUAUAACAUAAAACUUACAGCAUACAAAAAUUAAAAUUUUUAGUUUAUAGAAAACAAUUUUGCUGAAAUUUCAAUAAUUAUAAGUUUUGAAAAAUUACAACUUGCUUGUAUACUAAUUAGGGGUGGAAAUGAGCCAACCUUAAGCGAGCUUACCUCAGCUUAAGCUUAGCUUGAAAUUAAUUUCGAACCUAAAAUUUAAACUCAAGCUUGGCUUGAAACUCGAGCUAAGAGCUCGAGCAAACGUAACUUCGAGUAGAGUGAGCUCGAACCCUAAUGAGCCACUUGAAAUUCUUAACAUCAUACAAUCUAUAAUUUAAUUUUUAUAAAAUAUUAUCUAAAAUUUGAUAUAAAAAAUUUCUAAUAAUUCAACAUUAAAAAUGAGUGCAUAAAAUACGAUAUUAAUGUUUAAAAAAAUAGGGAAAGUGACUAUGCGGGCAAGUGAAAAAAGAAAGAAAGCAAUUAAAGUAAGAUUUUACUGGUUGGUUUUGUGGGCUUAAAACCUAAAUUUUGUAUACAUAUAAUUAAAAUAUAUAAUAUAUAUUAUGAUAUAUAAUCAAAAUAUAUAUUAUAUAUAAUUAUAUAUAGAGAGAGUCUGGGUACUAUACUCUUAUAACUAUAGACCUCUUUAUACUCAUAAGUUUUCGACUAUUAGAACUAUCUCUCUUAUCAUUUACAUCCGUUAAAUCAUACUAUUCAACUAACUACCCACUCAACCCUGAAGGACUACUAUCAUAGUAACCACAUAUCUCUUCAUCCAACAAUUGAAAACUUAUACCGACCGUCCCUAGAGCAAGUGGCAAAGGGCUUGGCGGUUGGUACCCGAGACCCAAGUUGGUUGGUACCCGAGACCCAAGUUCGAAUCCUAGUUGAUUCACAUUUUCAGCUAAGUUUAUUUCUAAAAUGAAAUAAACAAAGCGGGUAGCGUGAUACCCAUCUCUCAAAAAAAAAAAAAAAAAAACAAUUGAAAACUUAUAAAUGUAAAAGAUCUAUACCUAUAAGAAUAUAGUAGUCUAGCCUAUAUAUAUAUAGAGUUAAAUACAUUCAUGUCUCUGCAAACAUAGUGAAUUACAAAUAUAUUCUUAUAAAGAUCAACUUUUAUAUGUUGUUCCUGCAAAAAUUCUAAUAUUUUCAAAUUCGUUCCUCUGGUUUGUUACNUUUG